CAGAGGGGGCAAGCGUUGCUCGGAAUUACUGGGCGUAAAGGGCGCGUAGGCGGGAUGGCAAGUCGGUCGUGAAAUCCCUGGGCUCAACUCAGGGGGGUCGGCCGAUACUGCCGUUCUUGAGGGAUGCAGAGGAGACUGGAAUUCCCGGUGUAGCGGUGAAAUGUGUAGAGAUCGGGAGGAACACCGGUGGCGAAGGCGGGUCUCUGGGCAUUCCCUGACGCUGAGGCGCGAAAGCGUGGGGAGCAAACGGGAUUAGAUACCCCGGUAGUCCACGCGGUAAACGAUGACGACUAGGUGUGGGGGGGUUAAGUCCCUUCCGUGCCGCAGCUAACGCAUUAAGUCGUCCGCCUGGGGAGUACGGCCGCAAGGUUG
Molecule: ribosomal RNA, 372 nt
Filed under: uncultured organism
Description: bacterial SSU rRNA
Rfam family: Bacterial small subunit ribosomal RNA
Source: RNAcentral